UACGGAGGGUGCAAGCGUUAUCCGGAUUCACUGGGUUUAAAGGGUGCGUAGGUGGGCUGGUAAGUCAGUGGUGAAAUCUCCAGGCUUAACUUGGAAACUGCCAUUGAUACUAUCAGUCUUGAAUACCGUGGAGGUCAGCGGAAUAUGUCACGUAGCGGUGAAAUGCUUAGAUAUGACAUAGAACACCAAUUGCGAAGGCAGCUGGCUACACGAAUAUUGACACUGAUGCACGAAAGCGUGGGGAUCAAACAGG
This 253-nucleotide ribosomal RNA is filed under the name uncultured bacterium. RNAcentral describes it as "partial 16S ribosomal RNA". It matches the Rfam family "Bacterial small subunit ribosomal RNA", at positions 524 to 776 of the family's 1533-position model. The record is from RNAcentral.